Long non-coding RNA from Vespa velutina, 1976 nucleotides. RefSeq lists it as uncharacterized. The record is from RefSeq and is a predicted model, not a curated record. NCBI's taxonomy places the organism in Eukaryota, Metazoa, Arthropoda, Insecta, Hymenoptera, Vespidae. The transcript is spliced from 2 exons.
UCCUUUUUCUUUUUCUUUGUUCUUUUUCUUUUUUUUUCUUUUUUCUUUAUUUAAAGGGCUUUUUUCAAAAUUUACUUCUAGUUCUAAAAUUUAUAUCGUCGUUAAAUGUUCGAAACUUUUUUUAACAAGCCUCAAUAAAUCGAGAAUUCCACUUGACAAGUAAACUUUUGCGUCCCGAAGAAAACAAUUUUAAGCGAUGAUCUUCAACAUUAGCAUGAAUGAUAAUGAUGUCAGAAACUUCAAGUUUCAAGGUUUCGAAAAUUAACUAUGUUCGUUCUUUCUAUCAACUGAUCGUUAUCUUCGUGAUAUUGCUUUUCAUGUUCUUGUAUUAAUCCUCGUUCUUGGUUUUCUAAUAUUAUUAUUUUCAAUGUUUUCAACGAGCUUAUUGUUCCAUGAUUAAGAUUAAUUCACAUCUGACGUUUAUGACGAAAUCAGUGGAAUAAAAAAUCUUUCAGAUAUUAUUGAUCAAUCUUACGAGGAAAAAGUUUUCUUUCGGACCUGAGUCAUUUUGCGUUGUAGCAUAAAUUUUCUCUUAUUGAUUUACAACGUAGAACUAAUAAAAUUGAGAGAAAAUGCUUUGACAUAAAUAUUACAGGCUGUUAGAAUAUUCGCAAAAGAAUAUAUCACAAAAAAAGAACGAUUGAACGUUUUUACGAUUUCUACAGAAAUAAUGAAAAUUAAAUAAUAAUUAUUCGUAAUUAAUAAGUAAUUAUUCGUAAAAAAGUAAAUAAUAUUUGUUCUUCAUAAAAUUAAUUCCAUUUAUAAUUACUAUUAUCAUGGUUGACUAAAGCAUCGAACGAUCGAUCAGUCGAAGUAGGGAAUAUCAGCAUUCCAGUUGCGUUCUCACGCGUUAGCUUAUUCAUUAACAAAACCACUCUCGACCGAGUCAGCGCAUAUGUCAUUUGCAUUUCUCGUAUAUGCGCUGCGGGAAGAAAUUACGCGUACGAACACAUGUUGUUAUGUCGCCUAGCAUCUAUUUCUAUGUGUACGUGUACACAUAUAGUAUGUAAUCGAACAUAUAUAUACGUUCAAUGGAUGGAUUAGAUUAAUCGACUUCAGCGUUCGUCCAUCGGAAGGUAAAACGUGACAUCAGAAUUUCUAAGAACGAGACUUCGCUCGCGUUCGCAUUUUGCAUUUACAACGUACGUGGAAUAUCUAUAACCGAAGAGAUAGAUAAUAAUUUCUUACUCCGCGACGAAAGAUUUUCUCGCGCUUCGAAGGCCAUCAAAAUAAAGAUAACUAAGGAUAAUGACGGUCAAAAGUUAUGGAGGAUAUACGCGAAAAUUAUAAAAUUGUGGAUAUUAUCGCGCAGAGAAAUUGUACUAAAGAUGAAGAGCAUGCCUGUUGAGCCUUGUGAAACAUGUUUUGCCAACUAUUCAUUAUCUAUACGAUUUCUACGGUGACUCUGUCAACUCCCUUUGUCGUUUGGCUAUAACGAGACUCGAUGAGUACGAGGUCUCAAAGACGGAAGCAAAUCAUCAGCUCUCAAUUGAUAUCGUGCACAUCCUACAAAAUGAAUGCUCUUAUCUCUUUCAAGUGAUUUCUCUCUCACAUUGCAUGACAUUCACGUGCUCGAACAUUGAUUCCUUUUUUUUAGUUUCGCGACAUCUCAAAAAGAAUACUACAAUACUUAUAGUACUAGAAUACCUAUUUGUUACUGGAAUAUACAUAUAUGCCGGAAAUAUUUGAUCUAUCUAUAUUUAUCCUGAUUUAUUUAUCGGACAUAUACGUAAAAAUGAGUGAGUGAGUGAGUGAGUGAGUGAAUGAGUGAGAAAGAGAGAGAGAAAGAGAAAGAGAGAGAUCCUGAAAAUUGUAAAACUUAAAAUAUUAUAUCAGAUUUUCUAUUUGGUACAAAUUUUUAUGCUAAAUAAUAUUAAAAAUUGUAGCUUGAUAUAUAAGGGAUUUAUUAUCAGAUGUUCAUAUUAAUUUGUAUAUCCUUUGUUAAUAGAAAUAAUAAAAAAUAUGAUUAAGAAAGA